CCCUUAGAUGUUCGGGGCCGCACGCGCGCUACACUGAAGGACUCAGCGUGUCUCUCCCCCUAUCCCGAAAGGGAUGGGCAACCCGUUGAACCUCCUUCGUGCUAGUGAUUGGGGUUUGCAAUUAUCCCCCAUGAACGAGGAAUUCCCAGUAAGCGCGAGUCAUCAGCUCGCGUUGAUUACGUCCCUGCCCUUUGUACACACCGCCCGUCGCUACUACCGAUUGGAUGGUUUAGUGAGACCCUCGGAUCGGUCCCGACUCGGGGUGGGCUUCUGCCCCGGUCGUGGUUUCGCCGAGAAGACGGUCAAACUUGACUAUCUAGAGGAAGUAAAAGUCGUAACA
This 340-nucleotide ribosomal RNA is filed under the name uncultured eukaryote. RNAcentral's name for it is "partial 18S ribosomal RNA". It matches the Rfam family "Eukaryotic small subunit ribosomal RNA", at positions 1470 to 1796 of the family's 1831-position model. The record is from RNAcentral.